AACGAACGCUGGCGGCAUGCCUAACACAUGCAAGUCGAACGAGACCUUCGGGUCUAGUGGCGCACGGGUGCGUAACGCGUGGGAACCUGCACGUAGGUUCGGAAUAACUCCCCGAGAGGGGUGCUAAUACCGGAUAAUGUCUUCGGACCAAGGAUUUAUCGCCUUUGGAUGGGCCCGCGUUGGAUUAGCUAGUUGGUAGGGUAAAAGCCUACCAAGGCGACGAUCCAUAGCUGGUCUGAGAGGAUGAUCAGCCACACUGGGACUGAGACACGGCCCAGACUCCUACGCGAGGCAGCAGUGGGGUAUAUUGGACAAUGGGCGAAAGUCUGAUCCAGCAACGCCGCGUGAGUGAUGAAUGCCUUAGGAUUGUAAAUCUGUCUUACCCGGGAUGAUAAUGACAGUACCGGGAGAAUAAGCACCGGCUAACUCCGUG
RNAcentral lists this ribosomal RNA (433 nucleotides) under uncultured bacterium. RNAcentral describes it as "partial 16S ribosomal RNA". It matches the Rfam family "Bacterial small subunit ribosomal RNA", at positions 29 to 507 of the family's 1533-position model. The record is from RNAcentral.